Molecule: long non-coding RNA, 244 nt
Filed under: Elaeis guineensis (African oil palm)
Lineage: Eukaryota; Viridiplantae; Streptophyta; Magnoliopsida; Arecales; Arecaceae
Description: long non-coding RNA (EGUI_LNC006951)
Source: RNAcentral
CAUAGGUAUCUACUGAGAUUAAUCUUGAAUCUUUUUUCUCAUUGUAGAUCCUUCUUCUCCAAGUAAGAUCUCAAUCUUUUAAACUAUUGAUCAAUCUUUGAUUUUUUAUCACAAACUCAAUACUUAAACAGCAGCCUUUCUCCUCGUUCUUGAUGUAGAAGCAAUCAUCCUGUUCAAUUUGGGCAUAUGAGAAGAUGGGACGCCCAACUCUUGAGCGUUGGAAAGAGAGGAAGAAGGAGAGAUG